UAAUACGUAGGGGCCAAGCGUUGUCCGGAUUUAUUGGGCGUAAAGAGCUCGUAGGCGGUUUGGAUAGUCGGGUGUGAAAACUCCGAGCUCAACUCGGAGACGCCACCCGAUACUGCCAUGACUAGAGUCCGGUAGGGGAGCAGGGAAUUCCUGGUGUAGCGGUGAAAUGCGCAGAUAUCAGGAGGAACACCGGUGGCGAAGGCGCUGCUCUGGGCCGGUACUGACGCUGAGGAGCGAAAGCGUGGGUAGCAAACAGGAUUAGAUACCCUGGUAGUCCACGCCGUAAACGUUGGGCACUAGGUGUGGGCCCUAACCAACGGGGUCCGUGCCGCAGCUAACGCAUUAAGUGCCCCGCCUGGGGAGUACGGCCGCAAGGCUA
This 379-nucleotide ribosomal RNA is filed under the name uncultured bacterium. Its description in RNAcentral is "bacterial SSU rRNA". It matches the Rfam family "Bacterial small subunit ribosomal RNA", at positions 521 to 896 of the family's 1533-position model. The record is from RNAcentral.